Molecule: ribosomal RNA, 462 nt
Filed under: uncultured bacterium
Lineage: Bacteria
Description: partial 16S ribosomal RNA
Rfam family: Bacterial small subunit ribosomal RNA
Source: RNAcentral
GAUGAACGCUGACAGAAUGCUUAACACAUGCAAGUCUUUGGUGAAGCUGUGCUUGCACAGCCUAGCCAAGGCGGACGGGUGAGUAACGCGUAAGGAACUUGCCCUGCAGUCAGGGAUAACAGACGGAAACGACUGAUAAGACCUGGUAAAGUCAGGCGGACUCAUGUCCAGCCUGAUGAAAAGAGAUGCUGCAGGAGAGCCUUGCGUCCUAUUAGCUUGUUGGUGGGGUAACGGCCCACCAAGGCAAUGAUAGGUAGCCGGCCUGAGAGGGUGGACGGCCACAGGGGGACUGGGAUCCGGCCUUUAUCCCACGGGAGGCAGCAGUGGGGAAUAUUGGACAAUGGGGGCAACCCUGAUCCAGCAAUUCUGUGUGCACGAUGAAGGUUUUCGGAUUGUAAAGUGCUUUCAGCAGGGAAGAAAAAAAUGACGGUACCUGCAGAAGAAGCGACGGCUAAAUACGUG